This 589-nucleotide ribosomal RNA is filed under the name uncultured bacterium. RNAcentral describes it as "bacterial SSU rRNA". It matches the Rfam family "Bacterial small subunit ribosomal RNA", at positions 335 to 916 of the family's 1533-position model. The record is from RNAcentral.
ACUCCUACGGGAGGCAGCAGUGGGGAAUAUUGGACAAUGGGGGCAACCCCGAUCCAGCCAUGCCGCGUGUGUGAAGAAGGCCCUCGGGUUGUAAAGCACUUUCAGCGAGGAAGAACGCCUAGUGGUUAAUACCCAUUAGGAAAGACAUCACUCGCAGAAGAAGCACCGGCUAACUCCGUGCCAGCAGCCGCGGUAAUACGGAGGGUGCAAGCGUUAAUCGGAAUUACUGGGCGUAAAGCGCGCGUAGGUGGCUUGAUAAGCCGGUUGUGAAAGCCCCGGGCUCAACCUGGGAACGGCAUCCGGAACUGUCAGGCUAGAGUGCAGGAGAGGAAGGUAGAAUUCCCGGUGUAGCGGUGAAAUGCGUAGAGAUCGGGAGGAAUACCAGUGGCGAAGGCGGCCUUCUGGACUGACACUGACACUGAGGUGCGAAAGCGUGGGUAGCAAACAGGAUUAGAUACCCUGGUAGUCCACGCCGUAAACGAUGUCGACCAGCCGUUGGGUGCCUAGAGCACUUUGUGGCGAAGUUAACGCGAUAAGUCGACCGCCUGGGGAGUACGGCCGCAAGGUUAAAACUCAAAGGAAUUGACGG